CCUACGGGAGGCAGCAGUGGGGAAUAUUGCACAAUGGGCGCAAGCCUGAUGCAGCCAUGCCGCGUGUGUGAAGAAGGCCUUCGGGUUGUAAAGCACUUUCAGCGGGGAGGAAGGCGUUAAGGUUAAUAACCUUGGCGAUUGACGUUACCCGCAGAAGAAGCACCGGCUAACUCCGUGCCAGCAGCCGCGGUAAUACGGAGGGUGCAAGCGUUAAUCGGAAUUACUGGGCGUAAAGCGCACGCAGGCGGUCUGUCAAGUCGGAUGGGAAAUCCCCGGGCUCAACCUGGGAACUGCAUUCGAAACUGGCAGGCUAGAGUCUUGUAGAGGGGGGUAGAAUUCCAGGUGUAGCGGUGAAAUGCGCAGAGAUCUGGAGGAAUACCGGUGGCGAAGGCGGCCCCCUGGACAAAGACUGACGCUCAGGUGCGAAAGCGUGGGGAGCAAACAGGAUUAGAUACCCCAGUAGUC
RNAcentral lists this ribosomal RNA (465 nucleotides) under uncultured Klebsiella sp. RNAcentral's name for it is "bacterial SSU rRNA". It matches the Rfam family "Bacterial small subunit ribosomal RNA", at positions 338 to 795 of the family's 1533-position model. Lineage: Bacteria; Pseudomonadati; Pseudomonadota; Gammaproteobacteria; Enterobacterales; Enterobacteriaceae. The record is from RNAcentral.